This 273-nucleotide ribosomal RNA is filed under the name uncultured bacterium. RNAcentral's name for it is "partial 16S ribosomal RNA". It matches the Rfam family "Bacterial small subunit ribosomal RNA", at positions 523 to 796 of the family's 1533-position model. The record is from RNAcentral.
AUACGUAUGUCGCAAGCGUUAUCCGGAAUUAUUGGGCGUAAAGCGAGUCUAGGCGGCUUGUUAAGUCAGAUGUGAAAAUGCGGGGCUCAACUCCGUAUUGCGUUUGAAACUGGCAGGCUAGAGUACUGGAGAGGUGGGCGGAACUACAAGUGUAGAGGUGAAAUUCGUAGAUAUUUGUAGGAACGCCGAUAGUGAAGACAGCUCACUGGACAGAUACUGACGCUAAAGCUCGAAAGCGUGGGGAGCGAACAGGAUUAGAAACCCUUGUAGUCC